GGGCACGUUCGUGUCGGAUGAGGGCGUGUCAUCUUUGAUGUCUUUAACGACUCUCGGCAACGGAUAUCUCGGCUCUCGCAUCGAUGAAGAACGUAGCGAAAUGCGAUACUUGGUGUGAAUUGCAGAAUCCCGUGAACCAUCGAGUCUUUGAACGCAAGUUGCGCCUGAAGCCAUUCGGCCGAAGGCACGUCUGCCUGGGCGUCACGUACCCAAUCGCUCCCCAAAACCUCCCACAUUUUUACGAAUUUGUGGAGGGCUAGGAGGGCGGAGAUUGGCCUCCCGUGCUGUAACGGCGCGGAUGGCCUAAAAGCAAAGCGUCGAGCGACGAAACGUCACGACAAGUGGUGGUAGAUAAAGCCCUAGCGGCAGCCUCAUCGUGUCGUGUGCGUCCAGUCGCGUUCGAUCGCCCAACGACCCCUACACGUCUCGACGAAUUCUGUCGCGA
This 445-nucleotide ribosomal RNA is filed under the name Ribes rubrum (red currant). RNAcentral's name for it is "eukaryotic LSU rRNA". The stretch from base 49 to 204 matches the Rfam family "5.8S ribosomal RNA". Lineage: Eukaryota; Viridiplantae; Streptophyta; Magnoliopsida; Saxifragales; Grossulariaceae. The record is from RNAcentral.